Long non-coding RNA from Arachis ipaensis, 1104 nucleotides. RefSeq lists it as uncharacterized. NCBI's taxonomy places the organism in Eukaryota, Viridiplantae, Streptophyta, Magnoliopsida, Fabales, Fabaceae. The record is from RefSeq and is a predicted model, not a curated record.
UUCUUACUAGAGAGUUGGGAUAUUUUUCAUGACAUUUCUCUCCAUUUACUAGGUUAAUGACAGCAUUAGAGUCACUCUCCAGAAUCACUUGCUUCAACCCCAACUCCCAGGCUAGGUUCAGGCCUUGGACGAUCCCCCAUAGUUCGGCCUUGAAAGUUGUUCCGCACCUAAUGUUGUGAGUAAAGCCCGCCACCCACUUCUUCUCAUCAUUUCGAAUGAGACCGCCACAUCCUGCCCUGUCGUUGAGUCCUUGUUGAGUCCCAUCAGUGUUAAUUUUUGCCCAGCCCAUCGAAGGUGGUUCCCACCGAAUGUGUGCCUCUCUUCACUUAUUCGAUUGCCCCUUCAGGCCUUGCUCUUCCAGGACUGAGUGAUCCUCUUGGACUGUUCCGCAGGGUCGUCGGUGGUAUUUAUGAUUGCUGGUUGAAGUUGGAAGUUCACUUGUACGAAAAGAAUAGGUGCAAACGGUCGAGAGCUAUUAUCAUUAUUAUUUGUCCGGCUUCACAUUAUUCUGGAAACAUUUUUUUUAAAAUAUACAUAUAAUGGCUGCGUCUCUGGUGCCCGUGGCUAUGGUGGCUAACGGUGACUAUGAGUUGACUCUUCAAUCAGAUGGUGACAAAUGGAGUGUUCUUUAGUGUGGUUAAGUUCUCUACGAAAACAUUCGACAAGGACAAGGACCGCAACAGAGGACCGAGGACUUCAAUGGUAACAGCAGCGACAUAGCACACACAGGAAUGAAUUGAACCACGUCGGCGGGAGGGAGUCAAGUCACCAUGGAUGCACCACCAAUGGUCUGCUCCCGCAUGAAGAUCCGUUAAGAGGGAGCUAGAGAUCAAAAUGUGUUAUAGUAUUGGAGGGGUUACCGUUUGGAUUCCGGGUCGGGGUGUUCAGGUUACGAUUGGUUUCUAGUCUGGGUCGGGUUUGGCCAAGGCCUUGUCCAGAAAAAAAAACAAAAGAAGUGUUGCGGGUAACUAUGGUUGAACGGUUGAGGUUGAGGGUGUAACAGUGAGAAAAUGAAGGGAAAAAAAUCCCUUUUUGUUUACGUGUAAAGAAAUAAUUGUAGCAACUAGCAUAGGCAUCAUAGCCACAGCAAAUUUGUGGCCACCA